AUGCCCUCGCAUCUGGCGCUGCUGUCGUGCCUGCUGGUGCUGCUCCUCUCCCUCGACAAGUUCUUCCUCCACUACCUCAAGCGCUGGCUCUCCGGCGGCGGCAGCAUAAUCCCCCGGAUCCCGACCGGCGCCUUCAAGGCGCACUCGCACCGACCCAUGGCGGCCGCCGGCAGGUGGAGCGAGACGGCCAUGCUCGUCAUCGACAUGCAGAAGGAUUUCGUGGACCCGGCGAUGGGCAGCCCGGUGCUGGUCGCCGGCGGCGAGGCCGUUGUCCCCGCCGUCGCUGAGGCCGUCGCCGUGGCGCGGGAGCGCGGCAUCUUCGUCGUUUGGGUUGUCAGAGAGCAUGACCCUUCUGGAAGAGAUGUUGAACUUUUCCGCAGACACUUGUACUCUGGAGGAAAGGGUCCGACAGUGAAAGGUUUGAAAGGUGCAGAGCUGGCUGACGGGCUUUUUAUCAAAGAAGGAGACUACAAGUUGGUGAAGACAAGAUUUAGUGCUUUCUUUGCGACACACCUUGAUUCCGUUCUUAAAACACAAGGAAUAAAGAACUUGGUAAUUGUUGGUGUUCAAACUCCAAAUUGCAUUCGACAGACUGUCUACGAUGCUGUGGAAUUGGACUAUGAGAAAGUUAUUGUCCUUAUUGAUGCAACAGCUGCUGCUAGGCCAGAUAUCCAUUUGGCAAAUAUCAGAGAUAUGAAGACCAUCGGCGUGGAAACACCAACCUUGGAAGAGUGGCGCCGUUAA
RNAcentral lists this ribosomal RNA (744 nucleotides) under Triticum aestivum (bread wheat). Its description in RNAcentral is "partial small subunit ribosomal RNA". The record is from RNAcentral. Lineage: Eukaryota; Viridiplantae; Streptophyta; Magnoliopsida; Poales; Poaceae.